Molecule: ribosomal RNA, 400 nt
Filed under: uncultured bacterium
Lineage: Bacteria
Description: bacterial SSU rRNA
Rfam family: Bacterial small subunit ribosomal RNA
Source: RNAcentral
UGGGGAAUAUUGGACAAUGGGGGCAACCCUGAUCCAGCGAUGCCGCGUGAGUGAAGAAGGCCCUCGGGUCGUAAAGCUCUUUAGGCUGGGAAGAAGGUUAUCUGGGGAUAAUCCAAAUAACUUGACGGUACCAGCAGAAUAAGCACCGGCAAACUCUGUGCCAGCAGCCGCGGUAAUACAGAGGGUGCGAGCGUUAAUCGGAUUUACUGGGCGUAAAGGGCGCGUAGGCGGAUAUAUGAGUGUGAUGUGAAAGCCCCGGGCUUAACCUGGGAAGUGCAUCGCAAACGAUAUAUCUGGAGUAGAUGAGAGGGUGGCGGAAUUUCCGGUGUAGCGGUGAAAUGCGUAGAGAUCGGAAGGAACGUCGAUGGCGAAGGCAGCCACCUGGCAUCAUACUGACGCU